This 492-nucleotide ribosomal RNA is filed under the name uncultured bacterium. Its description in RNAcentral is "partial 16S ribosomal RNA". It matches the Rfam family "Bacterial small subunit ribosomal RNA", at positions 29 to 507 of the family's 1533-position model. The record is from RNAcentral.
AGUGAACGCUGGCGGUAGGCCUAACACAUGCAAGUCGAACGGCAGCACAGUAAGAGCUUGCUCUUACGGGUGGCGAGUGGCGGACGGGUGAGGAAUACAUCGGAAUCUACUUUUUCGUGGGGGAUAACGUAGGGAAACUUACGCUAAUACCGCAUACGACCUACGGGUGAAAGCAGGGGAUCUUCGGACCUUGCGCGAUUGAAUGAGCCGAUGUCGGAUUAGCUAGUUGGCGGGGUAAAGGCCCACCAAGGCGACGAUCCGUAGCUGGUCUGAGAGGAUGAUCAGCCACACUGGAACUGAGACACGGUCCAGACUCCUGCGGGAGGCAGCAGUGGGGAAUAUUGGACAAGGGGCGCAAGCCUGAUCCAGCCAUACCGCGUGGGUGAAGAAGGCCUUCGGGUUGUAAAGCCCUUUUGUUGGGAAAGAAAAGCAGCAGGUUAAUAACCCGCUGUUCCGACGGUACCCAAAGAAUAAGCACCGGCUAAGUUCGUG